CUGGAAAGAUGACCAGUAAAACAAAUUAAUGAAGUAGGCUGAUGUGUAAGUUAUCUCACCCCUAAUUUAGGAACUGUAGUUUUGCAUAGUCAUGCUCAUAGAUCCGUCAUAUAGUGGAUGUGAAAGGGGAGCAUUUGGGGAAUUUCAAUUACCAGAAAUAUCAUGCCGAUAAGUAAAGGGAUCUUUAGUUUGUGAAGGGUAGUGUUUGGCUAAAUGGUAUUCAUGUUAUAGCCUUUAUUUGCCCAAUGUUUGGUGACUUACAUUGAGGCAUGUGUUUAUUUAAGAUGCAUGUGAGUGUAGUAGUGCUUCAGUGAUGGUCUUUUCAUGUUCUGUGUGUUUUGCAAUGUAUUAAUUAAUGUAAGCCUCUUUCUGUUCCCUCUGUUUGUAGGUGGUGUGAGGACUGCUGCCCUGAGAACGCUGUGUCAGAGACACUUAGGCUGUGUGCAUUUUGGAAUGUUCCAAAUGUGUGUCACUUCCAUAAGGAAGAAGUUCCAAGCCCGCAAUGGGCUCAACUGUCAACAACUGUCCAGGGCGAAGUCGGUCUACCCUGAUGGCACUACCCUGAUGAUGUUAGCCAUGGCUGCUGCCCUCAACAUGGUAGCCCUCAUAAAUAAACUGAUAUCAAGAAGUAACGUAGAUGGUGACAAGGGUGACAAGGGUGCCUCAUGGCAAGGAGCCAUCCAGAAGUCCCAGCCUGGAGCCAGAGGCUGCUAUUACAAGUCAGAUGGGAGAUGGCCUACAGUAUGUUAGGCAUCAGAAAAGUGGUGUACGCAUGAAGGCAGAGUUGCCGCAGGCAACGAUGAGAUUAGACACUUGACAUUUACUGCGAAAGGUACCAUCAGAGCACCUCUCCCUACCCUGCAGGAUACCUAUACAAGAAGAGUACAACAACGGCCCAAAAGUAUUUCAAAAGACAUUUCACGCUCUGACCACGGACUGUUUAAACCACUGAGGUCAAGCAGACAUCUCUGUUCCCACGUGGCUGACUGAGGGAACACCCACAAAACAGACUGGGGAUGAGUUUCUUUACUCCGCAUCCUGUACACACACAACUCCUUAUACUACAUUACAUAGACUUGCCAUACUGCACUUACACACACUGCGCUUUUAACCCCCUUAUCUGUGUCAAAUCAUGUGU
Long non-coding RNA from Sardina pilchardus (European sardine), 1138 nucleotides. RefSeq lists it as uncharacterized. The record is from RefSeq and is a predicted model, not a curated record. Lineage: Eukaryota; Metazoa; Chordata; Actinopteri; Clupeiformes; Clupeidae. The transcript is spliced from 5 exons.